RNAcentral lists this ribosomal RNA (446 nucleotides) under uncultured bacterium. RNAcentral describes it as "partial 16S ribosomal RNA". It matches the Rfam family "Bacterial small subunit ribosomal RNA", at positions 331 to 794 of the family's 1533-position model. The record is from RNAcentral.
CCAGACUCCUACGGGAGGCAGCAGUGGGGGAUAUUGCACAAUGGGGGGAACCCUGAUGCAGCGACGCCGCGUGGGUGAAGAAGCGCCUCGGCGCGUAAAGCCCUGUCAGCAGGGAAGAAAAUGACGGUACCUGAAGAAGAAGCCCCGGCUAACUACGUGCCAGCAGCCGCGGUAAUACGUAGGGGGCAAGCGUUAUCCGGAUUUACUGGGUGUAAAGGGGGCGCAGACGGCGAUGCAAGCCAGGAGUGAAAGCCCGGGGCCCAACCCCGGGACUGCUCUUGGAACUGUGCUGCUAGAGUGUCGGAGAGGCAGGCGGAAUUCCUAGUGUAGCGGUGAAAUGCGUAGAUAUUAGGAGGAACACCAGUGGCGAAGGCGGCUUACUGGACGGCAACUGACGCUGAGGCUCGAAAGCGUGGGGAGCAAACAGGAUUAGAUACCCCGGUAGC